ACGGAAGGCAGCAGUGGGGAAUAUUGCACAAUGGGGGAAACCCUGAUGCAGCAACGCCGCGUGAAGGAAGACGGUCUUCGGAUUGUAAACUUUUGUUCUUAGUGAAGAUAAUGACGGUAGCUAAGGAGAAAGCCACGGCUAACUACGUGCCAGCAGCCGCGGUAAUACGUAGGUGGCAAGCGUUGUCCGGAAUUACUGGGUGUAAAGGGCGCGUAGGCGGGGAUGCAAGUCAGAUGUGAAAUCUAUGGGCUUAACCCAUAAACUGCAUUUGAAACUGUAUCUCUUGAGUGUCGGAGAGGUAGAUGGAAUUCCUAGUGUAGCGGUGAAAUGCGUAGAUAUUAGGAGGAACACCAGUGGCGAAGGCGAUCUACUGGACGAUAACUGACGCUGAGGCGCGAAAGCGUGGGGAGCAAACAGGAUUAGAUACCCUGGUA
The sequence is a ribosomal RNA, 434 nucleotides long. It matches the Rfam family "Bacterial small subunit ribosomal RNA", at positions 341 to 792 of the family's 1533-position model.